UCUUUGUCUAUGUAAAAUACAAAUAAGCUCCGUCAUUUCUGAUCCUCGAGAUGGAAUGCUAUGAGGUCUUUAUGUUGGUCUCUGCUUUUAAACUUUGUUGCACAUUUGAAUUUCGAAGUAGCAGUAGAUAAAAUAUUAUAAAAAGGAUAGUUGCUACAUUUGUGUGUGUGUUUGUGAGUGAGCGAGUGUGCGCGCGCGCUUUUGAAAAGGCCCUUGUUGCCCGAAAGAUAAGUCCGACAGUCUUUUUGUUGUGCCUUUCUGUGACUCAGCAUCUUCACCAUUUGGUAAGCAGCAACAACUAUCCUUUUCAUAAUAUUGUUACAUUCCAUCCUGGAUUUUUUGUUGUUCAUCAGAGAAAAGAUUUUUCUGAGGAAUUAAACUAGAUGGUAGUGUAGAACUUGCAAACUUUUUAAAAUAUGAAGUAAAAGAUUUUAACUUUAAAUUAGUUUAAUUCAAAUAUGGGGCAAUGUUGAGAAUUGAAAAGGUGGAAAAAAUAAAUAAGAUAUAUCUUAGUGGCAUUGAGAUGUCGUAUGACUGAUGGAGGAAAGAUUUUGCAUUUCUUUUUCCAAGUAAGAAUGCACUUGCUCUCACUUGCUUCAGUACAUGUCUAGUGAUUCACAUGAAACAGAGAAAAAGAUAGACUGCCCUGUUAAUGAACAUGAGAUUGCCCAGUAUCACUCUGACAGAAGAGUAUGGUGUUUCCUUGAUAUGGUAUCUGGUCAGCAAUGUCAUUGGGACCAAAUGAAAGCUACUGCAGAUACCACACAGAAGCAAUUACUGUUACUGGAAUACCAGUAAUGUUUAUUAAAUUCAGUUGUAAAGUAGUUCUGGGCAUUGCAGCUGGUGAGCAAUGUCAUUGGGCACCAAAAGAAGUUCAGUUAUGAUGGAUUUCUGGCCUUCAGUCCAUGGGAAAAUUCACACCAGAUUGCAUCAAGACUGUUAUAUUCCAAGGAUAUCUUGGAAGAUUGAUAGUAUUCCUGAACGAAAACAAUCCAUAUAGUAUUUCACGUGUGUAUCAAAUUGCCAUUUGUUGUGGCACAUAAAUGUUUGCAACUUGAUUGUAAUUUUUGAACAGUUUCUCAACAAUCCAAGAAUUUCUUGUAAUGAGAAGUAGACAUUGUUGCUUGGGUAAAGGAAAUACAAAUCACGGUCAAUAUAACUACCUUAUUAACUUUCCACAGAGAAAUAUUUUUCACUACUGCUACUUAAAAAUUCAAAUGUGUGACAAAGUUUGCUUACAGAACUUGGCAUAAAGAUCUCCCUUAUUUGUAUUUUUUAGGUAGCUCUUAUUGUUUGAUCCUUCAAAUGGAAUGCUAUGACCUCCAUGUGAUCUAUUCCUUAGUAGUUAAUUACACAAAUAUAUGAACAUUACAAUGAGAGGGGUCUUUAUGCCAGGCCCUGUAAAAGUAAUGGCAUCUUACUUAAUAUUAUUGUUGGGAAUUUGAUGGCACAGCUGUGGGGAGACCACAAAUUUCAGGGUUUGCUAACUGCAAAUCUGGCACACAGUUGCUGAGUGAUUCAAGUACUUUUCAUAAUGUUUCACUGUUGAUACAGUUGUAUGUGAGAUUAUAAACCUAUUUGAACAACACCUUCACUUCAAAUUGCUGCAAAGAAAUGGUUACGGUAUCAGUGUGACGCUCUAUAUGUGUUUCCUCAACUGUGUCCUCAUUGCUACUGUCUUCAUGUGAAAUUACUGCGGACACACUUCUGAAACCAAACCUGUACAUCUUGUGAAGACAGAUUAAUGGGCUAUUCCUGCAGCUUUCUGGUAUUUUAUCAAAACCCCACUCUGGAUAGAAAAUAAAGAUUGCACAGAAAUGCUUGCAUGGGUAUUUAUAUAUCUCAAAAUCUUCACAUGCGCAGUUUGGUAGAGCAAAGCUUACAACAUAAUUAGUCUUUGAACAUUGUACUCUCCAUACAAAACAUUGUCCAAGUUCACAUUCAUUCACUAAUCUUGCAGUUAAUUCAACUUUCCCUGGU
Long non-coding RNA from Schistocerca nitens (vagrant locust), 1980 nucleotides. RefSeq lists it as uncharacterized. The transcript is spliced from 3 exons. The record is from RefSeq and is a predicted model, not a curated record. Lineage: Eukaryota; Metazoa; Arthropoda; Insecta; Orthoptera; Acrididae.